GCCUCUUUAGCUCAGUUGGCAGAGCAUUCGCCUUGUAAGCGAAAGGUCGUGGGUUCAAUUCCCACAGGAGGCU
This 73-nucleotide transfer RNA is filed under the name Candidatus Vecturithrix granuli. It matches the Rfam family "tRNA". From Rfam's summary of the family: Transfer RNA (tRNA) molecules are approximately 80 nucleotides in length. Their secondary structure includes four short double-helical elements and three loops (D, anti-codon, and T loops). The record is from Rfam by way of RNAcentral. Lineage: Bacteria; Candidatus Moduliflexota; Candidatus Vecturitrichia; Candidatus Vecturitrichales; Candidatus Vecturitrichaceae.